RNAcentral lists this microRNA precursor (100 nucleotides) under Marmota monax (woodchuck). The record is from RNAcentral. Lineage: Eukaryota; Metazoa; Chordata; Mammalia; Rodentia; Sciuridae.
UAACUCACCCAGGGAAUUUGUAGAGUGCAUAUUCUGACUCAGAAGGCCGGGGCAGAGCCUGAGAUUCUGCAUCUCUAACAAAUUCCCCAUCGGUGCUGCU